Gossypium hirsutum (cotton) is the source of this 107-nucleotide non-coding RNA. The record is from Rfam. NCBI's taxonomy places the organism in Eukaryota, Viridiplantae, Streptophyta, Magnoliopsida, Malvales, Malvaceae.
AACCCAUGAUGAGUGCACCAUCUCAAAAGAUCAUUAAAUCUCUAUCAUGCAUCAUACAAUGUCUCAAGCUCAAAUUGAGAAAAGGAAGAGAUGUCAUUCCUCAACUU